Molecule: ribosomal RNA, 260 nt
Filed under: Echinococcus granulosus
Lineage: Eukaryota; Metazoa; Platyhelminthes; Cestoda; Cyclophyllidea; Taeniidae
Description: partial 12S ribosomal RNA
Source: RNAcentral
GCUUUUGUGUUGGAUUAUGCGUAUUUAUUUAUGUGCAAUGUUAGGUUAAAUUUUUUUGUGACAGUGUGUGGUAAAUAGGUUUUGUUAUGAUAUAUAUGAUGACAGGGAUUAGAUACCCCAUUAAUGUAUUUUGUAAAGUUGUUCUAGUUUUGUAACUAAAAUGGUUUGGCAGUGAGCGAUUCUUAUUAGGGGAAUAUGCAUAGUGAAGGAUGGUCCACCUAUUAGUUUACUCUUUUUAUGUUGGUGUAUGUCUGGUUUGA